UUUAUAUCACGCAGUUGAUUUCUAGCUUUACGUUUGACCAUUCGUCUUAUUUAAAAUAAUUAUAUAAUCAUUACUUAUUUUGUUAUAAUAUGAUUUAUUAUUAUAUAAACUUUAUGUAUGCCUUAUAAUUUUACAUAUUUGGAUAUAAAUUUUGAAUAAGACGAAUGGUCAAACGUGGACCUAAAAGUCAACGGCGUCAUAUAUA
This 205-nucleotide microRNA precursor is filed under the name Oryza brachyantha (malo sina). RNAcentral's name for it is "MIR812 microRNA precursor family". It matches the Rfam family "MIR812 microRNA precursor family". Lineage: Eukaryota; Viridiplantae; Streptophyta; Magnoliopsida; Poales; Poaceae. The record is from Rfam by way of RNAcentral.